This 802-nucleotide long non-coding RNA is filed under the name Pan paniscus (pygmy chimpanzee). RNAcentral describes it as "lncRNA (ENSPPAG00000044445.1)". Lineage: Eukaryota; Metazoa; Chordata; Mammalia; Primates; Hominidae. The record is from RNAcentral.
GGUCUGUGGGGGAACUCCUGGGAGGCCGGUGGACGGGAGUGGAGGUGGGAAAGGGUCCAGGCGCUGAGGUCUGAGCACCCCUCGAACGGGAGGGCACUCAGUGAAUGGGCACUCAUGUUUGGCAAUGAGCUGCUUUGAGAGUGCAGGAACCCCUUUGGAAAAUGUCCCUUUCAGAGACCACUAAGGACUCCUGAAGGAGGAAGGUGAGUGAGGGGCCAGGCAGGAGGGCCUGCCAGCGGGGAGGGUCAGGGCCCUGAGGCUCUGUGACCUAGAAAAGGUGGUAAAGAAUUGUGUGCACCCACCUUGCACCCCCAGGGCUGGGCGUUGGGCAUUGGGCGUUGGGCGUUGGUGGCGUUUCAUUGAUUCUAACUUCAAAUCCAGGCUUCAGAGCCAUUGUGUGAUUUAUCAUCUGGGCUAGGUCAAGAUCACAUCGCUGAGAAGUGGCUGGAUUGGGAUUCAAACCAGCUCCACCUGACUCCAGCACCGGCUGUUCACUUGACCCUGUCCACUGUUCAGGGAAGAAUCUCACCAGCUCCUGGGCCUCAGUUUCCCCAUCUACAGAUGGUGAAACUCACAGGAGGUGAGGCCAAAUACUCACCGAGGUCCCUUCCUCUCUGGCAGAGGGAGCAAGAGAUGAUACGCCCGCCCUCCCAGGACCAAUAGGUGUGGAGUGUGAUUGUGUGGAGAACAGUGCUGGCACCGGGCAUGUGCGGCACAGAGCAGGUGCUCAGUAAACAUCAGCAGGAGGCAUGGUGAGUGAGGAGCCGUGUGAAGGAGGCAGGUGCUGAGGGGCUGGGGGCUG